CACUUACCCAGCUAUCUAAAUCUGCUCAGCUUCCAGGUCUAGUGCUAAAACUUGUUUUACAUCAUCUAAUGCUGUAUUCUAUUCAGGAUUAAACCUGACAGACCCGCCUUCUGCUGACUUCUCAGCUGCUGUUACAUCCUUCUUG
Non-coding RNA from Leptonychotes weddellii (Weddell seal), 145 nucleotides. The record is from RefSeq and is a predicted model, not a curated record. NCBI's taxonomy places the organism in Eukaryota, Metazoa, Chordata, Mammalia, Carnivora, Phocidae.